RNAcentral lists this microRNA precursor (103 nucleotides) under Marmota monax (woodchuck). The record is from RNAcentral. Lineage: Eukaryota; Metazoa; Chordata; Mammalia; Rodentia; Sciuridae.
AGAGGGAUAGCUGGGUCAAAUGGUGAUUCCAUUCCCAGCUUUCCAAGGAAUCUCCAUACUGUUUUCCAUAUUGGCUGCACCAAUUUGCAGUCCCACCAGCAAU